This 256-nucleotide ribosomal RNA is filed under the name uncultured bacterium. Its description in RNAcentral is "partial 16S ribosomal RNA". It matches the Rfam family "Bacterial small subunit ribosomal RNA", at positions 15 to 263 of the family's 1533-position model. The record is from RNAcentral.
GAUCAUGGCUCAGGAUGAACGCUAGCUACAGGCUUAACACAUGCAAGUCGAGGGGCAUCGGGAAGAAAGCUUGCUUUCUUUGCUGGCGACCGGCGCACGGGUGAGUAACACGUAUCCAACCUGCCGUUUACUCGGGGAUAGCCUUUCGAAAGAAAGAUUAAUACCCGAUAGCAUAAUGAUUCCGCAUGGUUUCAUUAUUAAAGGAUUCCGGUAAAGGAUGGGGAUGCGUUCCAUUAGGUUGUUGGUGGGGUAACGG